CUUCCCCCAUUUCUUUUUCAUAAUGGUCCAGCACUCGUUCUGCAGCCUUUUUAUACCAUCUCCUCUCUGAGGGAGGUGAAGACAGCAUUUGGUUCUGAAGCAACACCGAAAGAAGUGCUUUGCCCAGGUGUAGGAAGCAUGCCAUGGGUUUGGUGGCUAAAUCUGCGGACAGAAUGAAGGGCAGGUCACAGGGCGGGGUGGCAGGUUGCUGGAGAAGGAACCCUAUUUAACCCCUGUGAGAGGAAAAGGCUCCAUCCUGUCCUGUUGAGCCCGUCCAGAGGCCAUCCCGACCGUCCUGCCGUGGGGUGCCAGCCUCAGCCGGGCACGCCGCCCCGGCUCCUCGGCAGCCUCCAGAGCACAGCCCUUGGUCUGGGGGCUCCUCUCCACAGCACCUCACCCGCCUUGUGCGGCCCGGCCGCGGCCUUCACAGCCCGCUUAAAUGGCCCGGCUUGCGUAACUUGCAAGAGCUCAGAGCUACCGAAGGGCAGGCUUCUGCCAAAUCCCUGCCCUCCCGCGGGAAGCGAAUUAAAUCCGGCAGAAAUCACUGGAGCGCCACUCGCUUUGGAGAGCAGGCGCCCAACCCAGGCAGGCCUGCGUGCGCGGCGCUGGUCUUCAGCCACAAACCGAGCCUGGAAACCUGAAAACCCCUCCUCGACUGAAAGAUCAAAGUCGCAAAAACUUAAAGAGAGUGACUGCUUUAAUGACAGAAGGCACGGAAUUUUAACAUGAGCAUCCUGAAGGUCUCAGUGGAGCACAGGCCCAAAGAAGCCAAGUCAGUUUUAAUUCAACCUCACGUGCUUUGAUACAGCCACAGGACAAAAGCGUUAGUGGUCUCUAGUUUGUUUAUGACUGACUACAUAUGCUAGAAUGUGCUCUGCCAAAACUCAUUGCUAAAACAAAAACCAGCGUUCAAAUGGCACAAAACUUCAUAAACCAAAUAAACAACACAUUGCAAACAUUUCAGGCUUCCAAGCAAAGGUUACUUCCGUAAAUUCCAACAUCUAAAUUGGCUACAAAACGUUUCAGACACCGAAAUAAAUGACUGGCUAAAAAAUCACCAUCAUCCUCAGUAUUUCAAACGUUUCAUUUUUCUGUUAUCCUGAAACAUGCAGAGCACCCAAAUUAUAACUGAGUAAAUAUACAUGUCCCUUCCUAUUUAAAACAAACAAACAAAAAAAUUUGAAACAUUAAAUUUGAAUCUUUCUGCUUAACCCAGGACUAGAAAACUGUCAGCGCUGAAAAUUAGUUUCACAGAGCCUUAAUGCGUCUGAAAAUGGCUUAUUUGCUACACAUGACAAGCAAAUUCUGAAAUAAAGGGAAACCCUUUCCCUCAACAUGCACACUAAUAUUUUUCUUUCCUGAAGGUUGGAUUACUUCCAGAGAACCUGAACUGACUUCAGUGGAGCGAUAAUGUAUUUCUUAGGAAGAACAUGUAAACUGCCUCAGAUCACAAGAAAAUGGUUCAACCAAGAAAGGGCUUUACUCAGCUCUUCUAAAUAUACCAAAGAAUCACACUUAAGUGAUAUUUUUUUAAACAAUUAGGGCUUGACUACACCAACAGCUAUAUCAGCUGAUAUAUAGAUAUAUAUUACACUAAACAGGAAUGAGACACUUUCUUCCUGGAGUCAUUCCAAAAAAAAUGUGAGCAUACUGUAAAUUCCACUUUUAACUUCAACCCAUGCUGCCAGUAAGUGUAAAUACAUUUUUGCAAAGUUUAAGGUAUUUAUUAAAGUACUAGCAGGACUUUCUUUUCAAAUUAACCAGAGAUACUUCUCAGGGCAGAGUAUGGUGAAAAUGAGAAAAGUCACCAUACAGAAGGACAAUUUAUAAUAGCAAAACCCAAACGUAUACAACUUUAAGUACUACUUCCAAAGUGAAGAGACACCCCAGAAUUAAAACACUUCCUAAAUUUUAAUUUUUUCAGCAGAGGAAAAAUGUCCAAACAACCUAUGAAAAUAAGAUAAUUUAACAGCAAAUGUCUGCUCAUCAGCAUCACAAACACAGCUGUGACAGCCAGGACCAAGAUGUGCUUUAGGAGACACCUAUACCAACAAGGAAAACAUUCACCAGAAAUCAAUGUCUUCAGACCAGGAAAACUCCACUGGCUCUCAGAAAAGGGCAUAAAAAAAGAUUUCACAAAAGCUUGUAAAUUAGUUUAUAGUUAAACUUAUAAACAAGAAUCAUUUAGGAAGUUAUAAAGGAAGACUCACCCAAAUGAUAUUCUACGCACAUGAGAAAGAUUUAUGUCUAUUUUAUGUAUGGGUGAGCCCAAGCAGUCAGCACAAGCCUGUGUGUACAGACUGGCUGAGCUAUCAGCUGGCCCACUGCACUCUCUGAAGUUUCUGCCUGAUAGCAGAGCUGAGAUAACAAGUUCACAGCCCACCCUUACCUAACCUGGGCUCACUCCAAUGGGUCAGUCACAGCCUUCAUAGCAGCAAUGCCGGUGUUUGUGGAGCCAGGCAGCAAAACUGCCUGGACUUUAAUCCCCUACCCCCACCAAAAGAGCUGUUGGGUCUAACACAUCCUUCCAGAGAUGAUGUUUUUAGGACCCAUAAAUCUGCCUCAGCAUGGCAGAUGACUCAAUAUACCACACUAGAGGACAAACGUUUUUGUGCCUGUGCUCCAUCAAGAACAGCUCAAGUGUCCCACCACUCCCAGUGCUGGGACAAGGGGCUGCUUGUGUAGCUGUUCUCCAAAACCCAUUCCUGAAGUGGCACCACCAAGAAAGUCCCGCCUUUCCUCACUCCCAAAACACUGCCAAGGUCCAGAUAAAGUGCAGGUAUCUCAAAACUUCAUGUAAGGUUGCAUUUCCACAUUACUAAGGACAUAACAUGACUAACUUUAUGAACCAAGCAGCCCAAUUCCAACAUGUCCUGGCACUAGUAGAAAGUAUUUCCAAUGUGAAGGACCACAUUCUGUCCAAUGGAAAACUGAAAGACACACACAAAAGCCAUAAAUAAAAGCGGAGCUCUUGCUUAAACUGAAAACUCCAAGUAACCAGAAACUGGGAAAUUAAACAAAAGCCACUUUUACACUGCUACAUGGCCUUUCAUCAGAAGAUCUCAGGGAACUGAGCUAGUCUGAAAAAGCUCCUGGUCCUGGACCACAGGACAUGAAACAAAAACGGUGCUUAGAUAUCAAGCAAGAGAGUAUUUUAUCAUGCAGUUUCUGGAUGUGAACUCUUUAAAGACAAAUAUCUCAACUCUGAAGUCGCAGUUCCACACAGGACAAAGGCGCCUGUGCGCAAGUCCCAGCUUGCAGCCUCAAAGCCCUGUUUGUUCACCCAGAACAAUGGGGCAUGUGACUUGUCAACACUACCCACAAUAAAAACAAUAAGAUAAGGCUGCCACUGAUUUCACGAUGACCGACUUUGUUUUCACUAAUUUUAAGUCACACUGUCAAUAAAAACUUCUUGCAUAAAACCCCUUAUUUUGAAAAGCCCAAAGCCAACCCCACCUUGCGCCGAGGUUUUCACUCCAAACUCCUCAGCUUUUUGUGUCUUUACUAAAUGCUCACACCAACUCCCUCCAAAGCCUCCGACUUCAACAAGAGUUGGAUCAAUGCUAUAUGCCUAGAGCCAAGAUUAUUUUUAUCGUGUAAAAGCACUGCCAAAAUUUGUCCUCCGCAUUUCCUGCCCUGUGUGCCCAUCCCAAGCACCCAUGUGCCCGCAGGCAGGCCCCUCGCUCACCUCCUGCUCGCUGCCAGGGGCACACACAGGAAAAUGAGACUUCCCCAGCAGCCCAGCAGGUUCUGCUCCACCACUGACUCAGGCUGCAUCAUCCAAACCCAUUCAACCCCUCCAGCCCAAGAGGGCUACCCAGGACCGAGUCCUGCACAUCAACUUAACUAACAUUUUGAGAAAGAGGAAGAAAGCAGAGAAAAUCCAGAGAACAGAAACAAAAAGGCAUCAAUUGGAUUUAAAGGACUGACAAGAGAACGGACGGGAAGAAAGCAAAAGUCCAAAAUAACAAAAAGGAGAGAAAGCCCAGGACAAAAAAAAAAAAAAAUAGGUGGGGAAUGAUUAGAAAAAUCAAAUAAAGCCACAGGAAGAAUAAAACGGUGCAAACUGUCAGGGUGGACACAAAACACUCCAGUUCACUACACUUAUUUGCCACUUUCCCUCUACAGCGGGACAAGGGAGCCAAGAGGAGAAGGCAGAGCCACCCUGACACUUGGAAGGGGUUAAUUCAGAAAGAAAAAAGCAGCAUAAUCUUGCACCACUUGUCUUUUUAUCACACGGGGGGAGGCUUGGGGGGUUAUUUUAAUUACACAGAACAGCAGUAGGUCCAGCAGCACCAGAUUAACAAAUACAAGUAGGCAGCAACAGGCACACGGAAGUACAUUGCAGUUCCAAACUUUCACCAUUUACAGCAACAUUAACACAAAUGAAAUCUGACUAACCUGAUCUCUGAAUGUGUUUUUAAAACCUGUGCAUUUCUUUCAUUUCACCUUGAAAAACUCCGUUCCGCAAGCAGGUAGUUACAGGCCACAGCUGGGAAAGCGGGAGGCACAUUAAGCACGCAAAUGAAAUUUCACAUAUUCUAACACCAUCAGUGGAGCUUUCUGGAGCUCUGCAGCAGUGUCCAACACACACAAGCCUUGCUGCCGGCACAACAGACAAAUCUCAGCCUACGUAAGGGACGCUCUCCUAGCCGGAGUCUGACACUGCAUUUCACAUACCCUCCGAGCCUCGCGUAUGAAGUCACCCGUAGCGUCAAAGAGCGAGUCAAAACACAUCGAGAGUGUUUUCCCUGGCUACCUCUGAAAGUUUCCAUCCCUUUAUCUUUUGUGUAUUUUUUUUUUUUAAUUCUUCCCACCAUUUCUGUCGACACACAGGAUCUCUAGAAGUCCCCAGUACAUGCAAGCAGUGAGUACCUCUCUAACAUAGGACCCCAGCUGUCUCCAGGCACUGGGACAACAGCAGACUGAUGGGAAAAUUGAAUUUGGUGCUUUCACAACUGGCCCACAGAACCACACAGAGAGAGGGUUCAUUUCUUAAGACAAAAACAAUUCCCAUCUUACCAGAAAAUAAUACACCUGGGGAGGGCUGUGGUGCACCUCAACGGGAUGACCCAGAGGUCAAGAGGGCUUUUUGUUUUAUUUUAAUAGAAGAGACUCUUACACACUAAAUACAUUAAAAAUUAAGUUUUAUUUUAUGUACUGUAAGAAAGAAUCUUACAAAGGACCUUGAUGAACUAGGAAUAACUAAUCCAUAUCAAAAUAACCUUGCACGUGUAGACAGCACAAGAACCAACUAACGUGGAUUUUGCCAACAGCAAGAUAACAUUGAUAUUUCUAAUGUAAUCAAAGGCCAUUCACAAUCUGCCCUGGAAGACAUUCACAGAAAUACAAAGCAUUUUUCUUACAACUCAAACAACUGUGACAAGUAUUUACUAUAAAGCCAAAAGUUGUUAGAAAAAAAAAAAAAACAACAAGAAAAAUAAGUCAGUUUCUAUUAAUUAGCUACAUUUAGAUAUCCUUUCCUGCUAUCAGACCAAGCUCACCAAAACUGCUUAGCAGGUUGUUUCAUUGUGUUUGUGUUCAAGUUUUGUCACAACUCAACAUAUUGAAGUUUCAUAUUGCUGAUUUUUUUUAUGCCCACAAUGCUAGAUACUUACAGUCUAAACAAGACACCAGAUUGUGAAAUUUAGUUGUGCAUUCAAAAUGAAGUGGAAAAAUCAGGUACCAUGUCGGCAUCAGGAAAACAUUCAUGUUGUUCUGAAAAUAUAGACCCCACUUCUAUAAACCCCAGAUUUGUUGCACUAGCAAUGGGAAACAGCUAAUCCAUUGCUACACAAGAUAGGUUUCUAGCACAAUUUGAUGUCAGCAUUAAUAGACAGUUUGACAACACCAUCCCUCAUUUUCCUCCAUACACAUUCAUGCUAACUUUGCUUUAUAAGUGCACUAAAAAGUAUAAAAUCUGAAGAAAUGCAACCCCAAAGUCAACACAUUACAGAAUCACAAACAUCAUCAUGGCAAAAAACUGUAUUUUUACAAAGCACUUCCCAAUUAAAAUUUAUCUCCAAGAGUCUGUGUUUAGGAAAGUGUGUUUGUGUUGAUACACAAGCAGGAAUUUCUGCACGAGAGAAGAAUGUGGACAUCCAUACAAAAAUUAGUGGUGAUUCAUUGUUUAACAGUUGUCUUCCCUUUACAGCACACCGCAGACUGAAGGACACGUUGCCAAACUGAGAGCACCAAUACUUCCUUUAACCUAAUAUAGGACAAAUAAAUACACUUCAACAGCUUCUAAAUCUUGCACGUCCUACUUUUUUGACCCAGAUCUCUUGUUAUUUCCCCCAUAGGUCUAUGCAAUAUCAAAACUAUUUUUUCCCCACAAAUUUAGACAUAACCUAAAAGAGGAAAAGUUCUCAUGCUUACUGUG
Molecule: long non-coding RNA, 6382 nt
Organism: Cyanistes caeruleus (blue tit)
Lineage: Eukaryota; Metazoa; Chordata; Aves; Passeriformes; Paridae
Source: RefSeq, a predicted model, not a curated record